This is a non-coding RNA of Macaca mulatta (Rhesus monkey), 1205 nucleotides long. Lineage: Eukaryota; Metazoa; Chordata; Mammalia; Primates; Cercopithecidae. The record is from RefSeq and is a predicted model, not a curated record.
UUUGUUUUUAUCUCUUCAUCUCUUCCUCUUUCCAGUGUCCCGGAAUUUGGAUGUGAUGGUUGGAAUCAGGCAGCCAUAUUCAGUUAUGAAGUGAUCCUGAGAAUGGAGUCUUCAUACAGUGGAACAACAAGACGGAAAGAGCCUGGUCCCUGAGCCACUGCUUUUUUAUUUUUAUUUUUAUUUUUUUUUCUUUUAAAGAGAAACUUCCAUCUUGUUAAAGUUCCUGUUAUGUUGGGUCUCUACUAUUCAUUGCCAAACUUUAUUCUAAUAUAAAAGGACAAGUGAACCCUGGAUUAGGAAUUAGAAGACCUAGGUCUAGCCCCGUUUCUCCAACUCAUAUUCCAUGUGAAUUUGGGGAUGGAAAAGGAUAAAGAGCCCCUGUGUUGCAAUCCCUGGCAUCCCUGGCUAUUUUAAGCAUCCAAUGAGGUUUGCCCCUUGGGAGCUCUCAGUUCUCCUUGGAGCCCCAUGCGUUUCUAUUCCAAGGUGGGGGCAGGGUGCCCUGGGAAGGAGCAGAGUGGGGGCUGGUUUCUGCCUGAGUUUAUUUUAGGUCUUACCCUGUCGAGUAGGCGAUCGAGGCACAAGUGGGACCCAGAGAUGUGAGAGCAUUCUGUGUUAGAGGGAUAGCAGUCUUUGCUAACUGCUAAAUAGCAUCACAAAUGGAGUAUGUCUGUCCUUAAACCACCUUAUCUUUCAUCCUUCAAACCAUGCCAAGCACGUAUCCAUAAAAGAGCAAAUAGCCCCUUUCUCUCUUCCCCUCAUAACAUCCUCAGCAGCUGCACAAUUGUUAUGUAUUUUAAAUAAAGCAUUUAAAGCCACUCAGAAUGUAGCAACAAUCACCAUGGAUACUCAUCACUGAAAUCCUUUGUUGCUAUGGCAACGGUCCACCCUUUCCCCCCCCAUCUUGCCUGUUUACCCUGAAACUGACAUGUUGGUUAUGGUGAAUGAUAGGAAAAAAUUUCAGAGGAACUUCCAAGGGCACAGAAGCAUGAAAUAUCUUGCCAGAAAAUAGAGCAAAUGGACAGAACUGAAUGACUGACAACCCACAUUGUCUCCCUGGAGAGGACCAAAGGAAUCCAAGGGACCAAGGAAGAAAGAGAAAAGCAAUCAAGCAAGAGAAGUAAAUACAUCUACCAACCUCAAAAGGAGUGGACACACAGGGUGCCCUAAAAGUCUAGAGCAGAGGCCAUAAACUAUCUGCAACUGUC